Long non-coding RNA from Lycium barbarum (goji berry), 790 nucleotides. RefSeq lists it as uncharacterized. The record is from RefSeq and is a predicted model, not a curated record. Lineage: Eukaryota; Viridiplantae; Streptophyta; Magnoliopsida; Solanales; Solanaceae. The transcript is spliced from 3 exons.
AUCAAGACCUUGGAGAGCAAUACUCCCUCCAACCUCACGGCUUGGACCAUGGAAAUUCAAGUUCAAGUUUUGCCUCUCCAAAAUUUAUUCUUGGGUACAAACCCACUAUUUUGAGGUCCCUAAGUAGCGUGGAGGUGUCGUUGGAGCGAUCAAGUCCUUCAUUCAAGAGAUUCCAAACCCUAACCCAUUUGUGGAAUUGAAGGAGAAAGACCUUGGGGAGCCCGAGGCGUAGAUUGGGAUUUACUUAGAUUGGCUAUCUUGGAGUGCGUUCGAGGUACAGAUGCGCAGUUUGGUGAUCCACCAGUUUAGGACAUCAUCCUUUGCUGUUCGGAGUGCUCUUCUCACUUCAGAGCAUAUGUUUUGGUAUACAGUUUCGUUCGUUGUGUAUGUAUUUGUUCAGGGGUACGGCGGGGCCCUGUCCCGCCAUAUGAUUCAGUUGGUUUGUUUAGAGGUCUGUAGACGUAUUUGUGGGUGUGUGUGCCUACUUCUGUUCCGAUGUGUUUGUAUGAUUCUAUUCGUUAUGGCAGCCUUGUCGGCGUGCAUUUGUAUCUGUGUUUUGGGCCGUUGUGCCAUUUGACAGCCUUGUCGGCUUUUGACAUAUUUGACAGCCUUGUCGGCUUUUUGGACAUAUUUGAUAGCCUUGCCGGCUUUUCGAUAUAUGUAUAUGCUUAUGUUUGUGUCAGAUACAGUUGGAUACAGUUUGAGACGGCAUAUAGCAGUUAUAGCCAUAUAUGCUAUUUGUAUGUGAUUCGAUAUGGAUAGGUACGUUUGGGUGCCCAACUAGGGCGCC